This 1122-nucleotide small RNA is filed under the name Pan troglodytes (chimpanzee). RNAcentral describes it as "retained intron". Lineage: Eukaryota; Metazoa; Chordata; Mammalia; Primates; Hominidae. The record is from RNAcentral.
GCAUAGUUCCGGUGGCGACUGCGGCGCAUGGCGGUGAGCGGUGUGGAGAAGACGCGCGGGUGGCUGGGCCUUGCAUUGUUGGCGGCUCUCGGUGACCCUCGUGCUACCCCCCUUUCUCCAGGCCCCGGGACAUCUUGCUGGGGAGGCAGCGGCGGCCCCAGGCCCGGGUACUCCCUGCGCGUCCCGCAGACCCCGGCUUCCCGGCCCGGUUUCCAGCGUCCGGAAUCCUUCCACUGUCUGUCUCUGCCCAGGGCAACCUACGUGCAGUAACGCUGACUCCAGAGCGCACCCGUUAGGCGAUGAAGGCGGCACAGCGUCGAAAAAACAAAAGAAUAAGAAGAAAACCCGGAACAGGCCCUCUGUGGCAAAUGGAGGCGAGAAGGCCUCAGAGAAACUCGCCCCAGAAGAAGUUCCCCUAAGCGCUGAGGCCCAGGCAAGGGCGGGCUUCAGUCGGGAAGGGUGGAAUCCAGCACAACAGUUGGCCCAGGAAUUGGCUUGGUGUGUGGAGCAACUGGAGCUGGGCCUCAAGAGGCAGAAACCCACCCCGAAACAGAAAGAGCAGGCUAUUGGAGCAAUCCGAACCCUGCGCAGCAAAAGAACGCCCCUGCCCCGGAAGAGGCAGCUGAUGCACUCUUUGUUUGGAGACUACAGGGCUCAGAUGGAAGCCGAACGGCUUGAGGCCCUGCGGGCUGUCAGAGCUGCUGCUUAUUCAGCCCAGGUGCAACCUGUAGAUGGAGCCACCAGAAAGAAGAGCCAAAGGGUCUGCAGGCCUCGCCCUAUAUGGAGAGCCAAAGCCACUCUGGACAUGCCUGAUGAAGAGUUUAGGUUCAAUUUCUUUUAGCGUCUCCCCCAACCUGAAACAAUCCCCCUCCCUUGGGGUGGUGUAGGGGUUUGUUUUGAGUGCAGAGCAUUUCCAGGACUUCUGUUGUCAGAGAACCCUGGAGUUGGUCUGUCCCUGGCUGGUCCAAGGAUUUGUAGCUGUUGUGAAGGUGUGAGACCAUCAGAUAGGCAAAAGACCCCGUUCGUUUUCUGAUGAAAUGUUCUCUCUUUCAGAAGAGAGAGAGAGGUGCAUUUAGAAAAUAUGCAAUAAAUUGAAGUGAGUGUUCAAAGUAUUGUAGAAGG